GUCACAGCCCGUCCCGGAAUUUUUAAUUCCGAGGACAUGAAAUUACGGAAAUGUCCCUAAUACGUGACUAAGGUAUAAUUUUCACGUUCGUUAUAUCUAAGCUCCAAAAAAAUUUGGUAAUUAGAGUGGAGACUUAGACUUAAAUUUUAUGAUGGAAUUUUAUGAAAUUGGGAUUGGUUUGGACAUGUGGGAUCCCCACACCUCAAAACCCUCCCCAUUUCCCGUAUACUGUCCUUCAUACUCUCUCUCUUCCUCAGACCUCACUCUCUCUCUCUCUCACCCUCUCGAACACACAGGCAACCACCCAAAACCACCUAAAACUUAUACCAACGUCGGAUUUAAAGCUACCAUGGCAUUCCUGAGGACUCCACGAUCACGUAGACACCAAUUUCAGGUAAGUUUUACUUCGGAAAACCUAGAUUCUAAACUCCCCGUGAAAGUGCACUGUUCAUGAUCUUCGAAUUGACUUUGUUUUAGGACAAUCCAAGCUCAUAGCAAGCUUGGUGAGGUCCCAAGGAAGCUCGGAGUGCUUCGUUGGAAGUUUUUGGACGUAAGAACACGGAGAUCGACAAGUUCAAAGUUUGGCCGGAGCUUUCGAGGCGUUUUCCGGCGAAUCCCCGGCGAGUUAGGAGUCAAGGUAGGUAUCAAUCUCUUCGUCUCGUCAAGUACUACAACUUUCCUUUUUGUUUCACUCAAUUUCGUUGAGUAUUGAAGAAGUUAUACGCAUUUGAAAAAUACCCAGUUUCCGGCGACCUCCGAGGCUUUCGAGGCAGUUUCCGGCCAAACCACGGCGAACUAGGUGUUGUGCAAGGUACCAUUAUCUUUUUCUCUUCAAGGGCUACAACUUUCGUUUUUGAAUCACUUGAUUUCGUUGAGAAAUGACAAAGUUAUGGCAAUUUGAAAAACUGCCCAGAAAACGGCCGCCGGAAAAACCAGUCCGGCGACCCAAGGAAGAAGAAGGUGCUACAGUAAAAAUAAAAAAUAAAAAUAAAAUUAUUUUAAAAAUAUGUCGACGUCCGUGACGUCGAGUAGAUCACUGUGGUAUAUUCAUAUACCUAAAUUGAACACCGUAUGAGAAAGUUAUUAAGGAUUGUUGGUUAGGUGUUCAAAUAACGUUUUAUAGUUUUCACAUUUAGGUGAAAAUGUGAAUUGAUGAUCCGACCGUUGGAUCAUCACCAAACCUUGAUACGUUGUAAUACGUAAUAUUUGAGGAUUAUUGGAACUUACAGAUUGGGAAUCCGAUUUGCGGAUCUUCCGGAAUUGGAAUUGUAAGUCCAUAAUAUAAAAUGUUAACCGUCACUUAGUUUUGGAAAUUGACGGAGAUCCGACCGUUGGAUGGUAAUGAAAUUUUAGGAUGUUAUCCUAGAGAUAUAUUGUGGACCUCUGGAAGUUAUGGAUUUAAAAUCUGAGGGGUGGAUCUUCCGGAUCAAUCUACGUAGUGACGUAUUUUAUAUAAGUUAUAUAUUCUAUCGAUAUGAAUUCUGAGGUUGGAUUUGAUUACUAUUCUAGGCGGCGAUCGUCGUGACGCCUUGUUGUGAGGUGCUAGGGAGUUGUUGGACGAACUCCAGGUGAGUGGGCAGUUUUGUUUUCCGUAUAUAUAUAUAUACUUAACGUUUUCCCAGAAAUUGAAAAUGCAUGAAAUUAUGUUUAAAAUGAAAUGCAUAUGAGUUAUGUGGAAAAACGGGAAGUGAAAUACCAUGCAUAGAAUUGAUAUGAAAAGUAUAUAGAAAUGUGAGUUGAAAUGCCAUGCAUGAAUUAAUAUAUAUGAUGCAUAUGUAUGAAUUGGUGCGGUGGACGCACAAGUAAGAAUUGAUUUAUGAUGCAUAUGUAUGAAUUGGUGCGGUGGACGCACAGGUAAGAAUUGAUUUAUGAUGCAUAUGUAUGAAUUGGUGCGGUGGACGCACAGGUAAGAAUUGAUUUAUGAUGCAUAUGUAUGAAAUGGUGCGGUGGACGCACAGAUGAGUAUUUAAUUACUGUUAUGAUGAUGAUGAUGAUAUAUAUAUUGAGCUCAAAUCCUGCACCAUGGUUUAGUGCUUAUAUAGUAUUCACCGCAUCGCACGCUCGCCUUGGAUCCAAGUAGAUGCUAGUCGUACAGUCCACGCGGAGUGGGUACGACAGACCAGUCGCGAGAGUGUUAGUGAGAUUCCGACUGGUGGGUGACCUUAGAUUAUGUGCACAGAUGAUUUAUGAGAAGCACUAGAGCGUAACUUGCGUUGCAGAAGGCCGGACGGGUCACAGAGGUGACUCCGGUAGAGUGAUAAUGAUAGAUUUUGAGCUCUAGGUUCAACCGUACAGGGCUAUUAGAGGGCCUACGGUUGAUUACUUUCUUGCACCUGAUAUGAUUAUGUUGAUGCAUUCAUACCUUAUUACUGUUGAGAUGAUGUGGCAUGGCAUAAUUAAUAUGAGAAAUGUUGAGAUGAUGUGGCAUGGCAUAACUGAUAUGAAAAAUGUUGAAAAAGUGAAAUGAAGUAUUGAGAAUAUAUAUGUAUAUUUAUAUUUUACAUUUCUGGGAAAGUAUACAGGUUUUACGGAGAGGGGUUACAACGUUAUGAGAAAUGUUUGGAUUUGGAAAAGAAUUGUUUUACUGACCCACUCAAUUUUGGUUUUGCGCCCCUCCAGGUUCAGGAAUCACAAAGGUGUGGUGACUACGAGGAAUACGGCGGGGUUCUGACAGAUUGACAAAAUUAGGACUCACCUUCGGGUGUAUCAACUUAUAAAUUGUAUCUUAAAGCUUCCGUACUGUGCAAAUGGUUACGUCACUCUCACGUGACGGCCAGCAUGCCCUCAUUCGGGACGGGGUGUGUCAGUUGGUAUCAGAGCAUGGUUGCAAUCUUGGACAUCUUGAGAAGUUUCUAGUGAAUUCUGUCAGAACUACACCGCCUCGUAGCACACCACGUAGUUAGAGGAAUUUAGUCUCCCUAAUAUAGCGGUUUUGGGGGGAAACUAUUACUAUGGUGAUUCAGUCUAUUGUCUAAAGGGGCAUUUUAAGAUGGGUUAUGAGUUGAAUUUGAAUCACUUAAGAGAAAUGAUGAACCUGAGGGAGCGAAGUAACGGUUUAACCAUUUGGAAAAGAUGUUUCGGAUUAUGCAAGUCAAAGGAAUCUUCCUUCUGACAAGGGGUCGAGAUGACUACCUGGUUUGAGUAUGAACGUGUAUCUUGAUGGAAGCAGGAGUAUUAAUUGUUGUCACCAGAGGAAUCAGUCGAUUUAAAAUUGUUUAAGGACUUGUUUAAGGAAAAGUUUAUCCCUCCGGCAUUUAUCGAUGGUAGUAAACAAGAGUUUACAAAUAUGAGACAAGGAAGGUGAUGAUCGAGGGAUAUUAUAGAAAGUUUUCAGACUUGCCUCGUUCCAUCCAGAUAUUGUUGUUAAUUUGGUGGAGGUGUUAUGUUGUUUUAAGCUGGGUGGCAAAAAGGGAAGUGGUAUUUUGGGUGACCACUAUCCAUUAUACUUCUUACCAGGAAUAUACGAGAUGCUGUUGAGUCUUGAGGACUCUGAGAACAUGAGCAACGAGAAUAAAGAAGAAUAAGAAAUGAAUGGGAAUUAAAAGAAGACGAUAAAGUUAAUGAUUCGUCAUAUCAAGGAGAUAGAAAGAUUCAGAGCUUCGAAAGAAGUGAAGCUAGAGUUAAUUCUUCCAGCUGAGGUUUUAAUGUCGCUGGUCAGAGUAAAAGUGAUGGAUAUACUGGUAAUCCCAGAUAUUUGAGACAAGGUGUCUCGAGUAAAGGAAAUGUACCUUGUGCAGCAGGUACAAAAUUAACACUUUGGGAAGUGUGAAAUUAAUGAAUGUGUUUAUGUGAACAGAGGGGACACAGAAUUGUGAAUCGUCCCUAGAAUCAGUUGUACUCAAUAAUUUUCCAUGAUAUCAUAGUGUCGAUUCAGAAGAGUUAUAAACUUAGUAGUUUGGUCGGAUUGACUGUGAGUACAGAGAGAUUUGAUGAGUUAUAUGUUCAGCCGUACAGACCAUGAGAAGUGGAUUCGAUUGACACAUGAGAAAUUGGUGAGUUAUAGGCUCGGCCGUACCGACCACGCGGAGUGGAUCCGGCUGACGUAUUAUUGAGAUAAGAGUUGAAUCAACCGUAUUGGUCAUUCUAGUUGACUUCGGCUGAUAUAUUUCUUAUUAUGUAUGUUAUUACCUAGAGAGUAGUAAAUAAAUGUAGUUGAGACGAGUGUAUGUAUUUUGCCUUGAGUAACAAAAUAGUAAUGUUAUAUCUUUGAGAGUGGUUGCCUACUUAUCGAGACAACGAUGAUUUAUCAGUAUUGCGGGCUGCAGACCGUAAUAUUAAUAACUCAUUCGUGGAUUCGUUAAGCAAGCAAACCGGUAGGUUAUUUUAUGUUAGUGUUGUACUUAUUUAGAAUGCUUAAUAAUAAUAGAAUAUAUAUUGUAUCAGUUAAUUAUGUUCCAUUAGAUUGGUUGGUUAUAAUUGUGACAAGACGGAAUGUUACGGGAAACCAGUACUUUCCAUCGAUCUGGAUGACCAGAGAUUACUUUUGUAAGUAUGCAAAGUGGAUUGAGUCAGGCCGUUAUUUAUGCUGUGAGAGCAAAGAGAUUGUUUUCGAAAGGCUGUCAAAAAUACUUAGCUCAUGUGGUGCUAAAUGAUGUUGUUUGGAGUAGUGUGAAUAAUGUCGAAAGAGUUAGACUUUUCUUGAUGUCUUCCUUGAAAGUAUACCUGGAUUGCCUUCAGGCAGAGAUGAGGUUCAUUAUUGAUUUGUUGCCAGGUAUAAAUUUAUAUUGGAGAUUGGUUCAGGAUGAGUUAAGGGAAUUGGAAAUUCAGUUGAAAGAAUUGGUUGAUAAAAGUUUCAUUCAACCUAGUACAACACUUUUGAGGAGCCCCAGUUUGUUGGUGAGAAAGAAAAUGGACUUAGAGAUUGUUCAUUGAUUAUAGACAAUGAAGUCGGGUAACGAUUAAGAACCGUUAUCUAUGGUGAUGUACUGAUGUUUAUUUAACCAGCUCAGAAGUAAUUGCGAAGAUUCAAAGAUUGAAUUGAGAUCUGGUUACUACCAAUUGAAUAUUAUAAGUGACGUUGAUCAUAAGAUGGUUUCUGGACUUGUUAUGAUCCUUAUAAAGUUUGGUGAUGCUAUGUGGAUACUCAUGCGGUUUUAUGAGUUGAUGGAUGAAGUAUUCCAAUAAUGCCUUGAUAAUUGAUAUCAUUUUCAUUGAAGAUAUUCUGGCAUAUUCUGAGCCAGAGCAGAGCAUGUAAACGUAUUAAGUCGGUAGAACAAAGAUUGGAAGAAUGUCGAUUGUAUGCUAAGUUUAGCAAAUGCGAAUGUUGGAUGAAUCAAGCAGCAUUUCUGGGAUAUGUUAUAUAUUCUUAAGGUAUUCAAGUGAAUCCUUAAAAGGUAACAGAAAUUAAAAUUUGGAACAACCACGAGUCGUAAUUGAGAUUUGGAAUUUCUUAGCUUACCAGGCUAUCUUGGAUGGUUGUGAAAGAUUUUUUCAGUCAUUGCUUUGUCAUUGACGAGACUGUUGAGAAAAGAGGUUAGGUAUGAGUGGGAAGGAAUUGUAAGCAAAGGAUUCAACAACUGAAGUAUUUCCACACUCAUGCACGUAUUUUGGUAUUCCCAGAGAAUAGUGGUAAUCAUAAAUUUUUAGUGAUGUUUCUUGAAUGGUAUUGGAGGCAUGUUGAUGCAAAUGUUAGGGUGAUUGCAUACGUUUCACGAUAAAUGGAAUCUCAUAAGAUGAAUUACCCUACUGGUGAUUUGGAAGUCACGAUUACCAUUCUUGCUGUGAAGUUAUGGAGACAUUAUAUUUUAGUGGGAAUGCAAGAUUUUUUUUUUUACGAAUCCAAAAAGUCUUCAAUAUCCAUUACUUGGAAGGAUUUUGAUAUGAGGCAGCGAAAGUGAAUUGUAUUGCUUAAUGAACAUGAUUGUACGAUCAGGGUGAUCGUAAAGUUUGUUCUAGCUGAAGCACUUGGUGAGAAGACUACAGUAAGAUUAAUAUCUGGCAUGUUUGCCAAGAGUAUCAUCUUGUGGAUUGAAAACCAACGGAAGAAAAAUUAAGGAUGGAAGAUCGAGAAGAAGUUAUACUUGUUAAGUAACAAGUUAGUACAUUUACUCCAGUGUUGAGUAACAACCUUUCCCAGACAGUGCAACACUACUUAUUUGUUUUAUGGAAAAGAGAAUUGGAUUACGGAACUGCUAAGUUUCUUAAGUAUGUUGGUUGUGCAGUUUCCGAAGUAACGCCAUAAGGACCAUGAAAUGUGUCACGUGAGUCAGUUUUUGAUGACUUGUGAAUGGAAUGUUUCUGGGUAGAGAAAGAUUCGAUCAAGAAAGAGUUUUAGUAGACCCUGAGACUAUGGAUGAGUCUCCUCAAAGUAUUCAGGUGAUUAAGUUAACCUGAAGUAACCAGGAAUGGCAAAAGAGAUCAACAGAUGGAUAUGCCACUAAUCGAGUGUGUAAGGUAAAUGGUUUGAUAUUUUUGGAAAAUUCACCACGAACAGAAAUGACGAGAAUUGGAAAAGAGACAAGAUAAGAUUUAGACACAUCAGACCAUUUUUUUUAUCACUAAAGGAAUCAAUAAAGUUGCAUACAAGUUUGUGAUGCCUUCAGAAUUGGCUAAGGCACAUAAUGUAUUUUGUGUUCGAUGCGUUGUCACUAAGUGGCAGGGUCGUUACAUGGGACUUUGGUGCAACUAUUGAGAAUUAAGCCGGAUAUGAUUGGUGAGGAACUAAUGUCGACGUUGGAUUGGAAAAAGAAGGUCCUAAGAAUUAAGACAGAGUAAGUAGUAAAAGCUUUGUGAAGGAAAUCAUUCAGUAGAAAAUUAUGUGGGAGAAAGAGAAUCGGAUGAGAUUUAUCCGAGGCUAUUGUAUGAGUAUAGAUGAUUUGGUUGGUUGCUGGAAUUUCGGGGACGAAAUUCUAUAAGGAGGGGAGAUUGUCACAGCCCGUCCCGGAAUUUUUAAUUCCGAGGACAUGAAAUUACGGAAAUGUCCCUAAUACGUGACUAAGGUAUAAUUUUCACGUUCGUUAUAUCUAAGCUCCAAAAAAAUUUGGUAAUUAGAGUGGAGACUUAGACUUAAAUUUUAUGAUGGAAUUUUAUGAAAUUGGGAUUGGUUUGGACAUGUGGGAUCCCCACACCUCAAAACCCUCCCCAUUUCCCGUAUACUGUCCUUCAUACUCUCUCUCUUCCUCAGACCUCACUCUCUCUCUCUCUCACCCUCUCGAACACACAGGCAACCACCCAAAACCACCUAAAACUUAUACCAACGUCGGAUUUAAAGCUACCAUGGCAUUCCUGAGGACUCCACGAUCACGUAGACACCAAUUUCAGGUAAGUUUUACUUCGGAAAACCUAGAUUCUAAACUCCCCGUGAAAGUGCACUGUUCAUGAUCUUCGAAUUGACUUUGUUUUAGGACAAUCCAAGCUCAUAGCAAGCUUGGUGAGGUCCCAAGGAAGCUCGGAGUGCUUCGUUGGAAGUUUUUGGACGUAAGAACACGGAGAUCGACAAGUUCAAAGUUUGGCCGGAGCUUUCGAGGCGUUUUCCGGCGAAUCCCCGGCGAGUUAGGAGUCAAGGUAGGUAUCAAUCUCUUCGUCUCGUCAAGUACUACAACUUUCCUUUUUGUUUCACUCAAUUUCGUUGAGUAUUGAAGAAGUUAUACGCAUUUGAAAAAUACCCAGUUUCCGGCGACCUCCGAGGCUUUCGAGGCAGUUUCCGGCCAAACCACGGCGAACUAGGUGUUGUGCAAGGUACCAUUAUCUUUUUCUCUUCAAGGGCUACAACUUUCGUUUUUGAAUCACUUGAUUUCGUUGAGAAAUGACAAAGUUAUGGCAAUUUGAAAAACUGCCCAGAAAACGGCCGCCGGAAAAACCAGUCCGGC
This 7808-nucleotide long non-coding RNA is filed under the name Malus domestica (apple). Its description in RNAcentral is "long non-coding RNA (MDOM_LNC016293)". The record is from RNAcentral. Lineage: Eukaryota; Viridiplantae; Streptophyta; Magnoliopsida; Rosales; Rosaceae.